GUGUCAGCAGCCGCGGUAAUACGUAGGGGGCAAGCGUUGUCCGGAUUUACUGGGCGUAAAGAGCGCGCAGGCGGUCCCGUAAGUUGGCUGUGAAAUCUCCGGGCUCAACUCGGAGGGGUCAGUCGAAACUGCGGGGCUACGAGGGCGGUAGGGGGAGAUGGAAUUCCCGGUGUAGUGGUGAAAUGCGUAGAUAUCGGGAGGAACACCGAUGGCGAAAGCGAUCUCCUGGGCCGUACCUGACGCUGAGGCGCGAAAGCGUGGGGAGCGAACUGAAUUAGAUACUCAGGUAGUCCACGCCCUAAACGAUGGACACUAGGUGUGGGGGGUAUCGACCCCUCCCGUGCCGCAGCCAACGCAAUAAGUGUCCCGCCUGGGGAGUACGGCCGCAAGGCUAAA
RNAcentral lists this ribosomal RNA (396 nucleotides) under uncultured bacterium. RNAcentral describes it as "bacterial SSU rRNA". It matches the Rfam family "Bacterial small subunit ribosomal RNA", at positions 505 to 898 of the family's 1533-position model. The record is from RNAcentral.